AUGAAAUAUGACUUAUAGGAGUAAGAGCUGUUUUUUGGGACCUGAGAGACAUGUUCCUGCUGCAAUUGUAUCGUGGUGAUGUUGAAGGUGCUCGCUUGGAGAGUUUUCUUCCAUACAUAGAUACCGUUCUCAAUCAUAUAUGUGGUUUGAUAGAUGACACUGUUAGAGAUCUUGUGGUUUUAAGCAUUUUUCGAUCUGUACUGCAUGCCUAUGUGGGGGUAUUGCUUGAUGGAGGACCUUCCAGAGCAUUUUCUGAUUCAGAUAUCAUGAUGAUGGAAGAUGAUCUAAAUAUCUUAAAGG
This is a non-coding RNA of Carica papaya (papaya), 300 nucleotides long. The record is from RefSeq and is a predicted model, not a curated record. Lineage: Eukaryota; Viridiplantae; Streptophyta; Magnoliopsida; Brassicales; Caricaceae.